Long non-coding RNA from Poecile atricapillus (Black-capped chickadee), 1554 nucleotides. RefSeq lists it as uncharacterized. The record is from RefSeq and is a predicted model, not a curated record. The transcript is spliced from 3 exons. Lineage: Eukaryota; Metazoa; Chordata; Aves; Passeriformes; Paridae.
ACAGCAACACUAACCAAAUGAGGAUAGGGGGCCUGUGUUUUCCUCCCUUAUGCUGCUUUUUGCUCUUUUCCUCUGCCUUUUGAAAUUGCAGAUGAGAAGAGUAAAUAUUGGAAGGUUAUCCUUUGUAUCUCAUGAUCAGAUCACAAGCUAGCAUGUGACUCGGGAGGGAAAAACAAGUCUUUCCAGCAGAUGUCAAGGCAGCGAGCCGGCUCUGCUGACUGCUGUACCUUGCUGUCUGCAGCCAAAGUCAAUUCCUGCUGCAUCCUUGAGGUACAGAACCUCAUGAUUCAUCAGCAUUUUAUUCUAAUUAAAGAAAACCCAGACGACUUUCAUUUUGGGCUUGCCUAUUUAGCAACUCUGAAUGCAAUGUGUAUGUAAGGAUAAAUAGCAGCUUUCAGCCACUGUUUUGUAAACAAGCUUCAGCCCAGGAAGAGCAAGAGCAGUUUGGAGCCACCCUGAAAUAAAAAUUGGAGCUGAGUUUUAGCAAUUUGGGUUUGACCAGACUUAUCUCGCCUGGGGUGAGUUUGUCUUGCUGAGCUCCUGACCAAGCAUCCAGCCACAAAACCCAGCAGGGAAAGGACUAGGAGAAGGGCAGGAAGGAUGGAGACAUGCAGGUGGCUGUAGCUCUUGGAGCCCCACAGUUGUCAGGACAACUGUGCACGGAGAAGAAAGCCUCUCACAGACCUCCCCAUCCCCAUGAGGCUGACGCAAAGAGCCAGCACACCAGAUAUUCCCACGGUCGCUGUCCUCGUGCCCCAGCUCAGCCAGAAAAGCUGCUCCCAGGAGGCGCUUGAAUGGCUUUCCCCUCGCACACGGAAGCGCAGGGAGCACGGACGUCGUCUCUCAUUGUGAUGGGAAAGGUUAUCGGGUACGAAACAAAAGUGAAAUCAUCCGCUGGCAUUCCUGGGACCAAAAUAGCUGCCUGCUUCCAGCACUGACGUUAUCACAGAGGAAGGAAGGCUCCGGAUACAGGCUGUCCCGUUCCAGGGCUCACGUACUGACCCUGCAGCGAGCCAGCUCCAGGGCUGGCUGUGAGCAGAAGCGAAAUGAGGCAUUCUUGCCACGGCAGGUUGAAGAGAACUCAGUGCAUGAGGUCCCAAAGCUGCCAUCACUGCCAAGCAGCCCCAGAGCCUCACACAAGAAACACUCAGCGACAGCCCAGCAGAGCUCACUGCCUCACGUUAACGUUCAGGGCUAGAGCCCUCCUGGGGACAGCACGGCACAGGGAGAGCUGUGGCAGAUGGACACCCCUAACAGGGGACUCUGUGAGCUGCUGGCCCUGCUGCUGGCAGCCUCGGGGCUGUGUUGCCCUGCCUGCAGAACUGGGUCUGAGCAGGGACAUGGUCAGCAAAGACAAGGCUUGGCUGUCAGCUCACUAAAAGCAUCUUUACUGUUCCACUUAUCUGGGAUUUUCUGUUACUGUUUUUUUUUCCUCUAGCACAGAUAGAUUCAAUCCAAGAACCAGAAUAGCCACAAAGCCAAGUGUAUCUAUCAGGCCUCUUACUACAGAGGCACUUAGGUGUUUCUCAACUGAGACUCGUCACAAAACAGUGG